RNAcentral lists this ribosomal RNA (504 nucleotides) under Hippolyte leptocerus. RNAcentral's name for it is "partial large subunit ribosomal RNA". It matches the Rfam family "Bacterial large subunit ribosomal RNA", at positions 1819 to 2600 of the family's 2925-position model. Lineage: Eukaryota; Metazoa; Arthropoda; Malacostraca; Decapoda; Hippolytidae. The record is from RNAcentral.
GUCUGUUUGGUAGAGUCAAACGGUCUUACCUGCCCACUGUAAGGAUAAAGGGCUGCGGUAUUAUGACCGUGCUAAGGUAGCAUAAUCAUUAGUCUUUUAAUUGAGGACUGGAAUGAACGGUGUGAUGAAAAGUAAGCUGUUUCUUAGAUAAACAUCGAAUUUUACUUUUAAGUGAAAAGGCUUAAAUGUCAUUAAGGGACGAUAAGACCCUAUAAAACUUAAUAAUGCGUUCUGGCGAUGUGUUUAAAGUAAAUAAAUCGCCAGUUUAGUUUUAUUUAGUUGGGGCGACUAAGAUAUAAAAAGUAGCUGUUCAAGUUAGACAAAUAUAAUCAAUUGUCGUUAAAACCUUUAGUAAGGAUUAAAAUAAAGUUACUUUAGGGAUAACAGCGUAAUUUUCUCUGAGAGUUCUUAUCGAAGAGAGUAGUUGCGACCUCGAUGUUGAAUUAAAAUUUUUAGUAAACGCAGCAGUUUAAAAAAUAAGUCUGUUCGACUUUUGAAAUUACA